RNAcentral lists this ribosomal RNA (253 nucleotides) under uncultured bacterium. RNAcentral describes it as "partial 16S ribosomal RNA". It matches the Rfam family "Bacterial small subunit ribosomal RNA", at positions 524 to 776 of the family's 1533-position model. The record is from RNAcentral.
GACGGAGGAUGCAAGCGUUAUCCGGAAUGAUUGGGCGUAAAGCGUCCGCAGGUGGCAGUUCAAGUCUGCUGUCAAAGACCGGGGCUUAACUUCGGAAAGGCAGUGGAAACUGAACAGCUAGAGUAUGGUAGGGGCAGAGGGAAUUCCUGGUGUAGCGGUGAAAUGCGUAGAUAUCUGGAGGAACACCGGUGGCGAAGGCGGCAUCCUGGACCGGCAUUGACGCUGAGGCGCGAAAGCCAGGGGAGCAAACGGG